AGCUUUAACUGAAUAGUCACUCGUAUAAUUUUGAGGAUAUGGCUCAAAAGUCUCUACCGGGCAACCGUAAAUUGCCCGACUACGAGUGGAACGCAUUACCAG
This 102-nucleotide non-coding RNA is filed under the name Carboxydocella thermautotrophica DSM 16521. Its description in RNAcentral is "Carboxydocella sporoproducens DSM 16521 Purine riboswitch aptamer". It matches the Rfam family "Purine riboswitch aptamer". Rfam says of the family: Riboswitches are metabolite binding domains within certain messenger RNAs that serve as precision sensors for their corresponding targets. Lineage: Bacteria; Bacillati; Bacillota; Clostridia; Eubacteriales; Clostridiales Family XVI. Incertae Sedis. The record is from Rfam by way of RNAcentral.